CAACGGCAGCGGCGCGAGUUGCUGCCGCCACUCGGCCAACGGUUGUUCACAUCACAAAACAAGCUCCGCCACCAGUUUCCCUCCCUGCAGCCUCUCACCGCACUGUCACUCAUUUCAAUGAAGACCACUUCAAACCACACCAGACCGAACGAUUCAGCAGUACACCAUUCGCGCCGAGCUUUCAUAUUGAAUUCAUAUUGGGCCACGUCUUUUGCAGGUCUGUUUUUGUUUAAAAAGGCACUAUUCCGUUUCUGAUGAAUAUUUACAAGUACGCAGUCCUGAUCGGUUUACUACUCUUAAAGAUUGGCGUUAAGGAAUUCAAUUGUUGCUUUAAUUUUAGAAGGCGAUUAUUCAUUCCCGACCACCCCCCCCCCAACUUCCAUUGAGGUUCUGUCAAAACUUCUCCAUGUUAAGUAUGCCAUUCGGAAAGAUCUCGAAGCUUGUGUGUGUGGCUCCACUUCUGCCUCCGUGUAUUUGGUAUGCAUCUGGAGUUUGUGGGUACCACUCAGCAAUUGCGAAAAUGAAAAAAUCGUUUUGCAGUCACGGGAAACUUGGAUAAAACUGGCGUGUCAAAGUGAAUUACUGAGGUCUCCUUCUACCGGACCAUCUAGGAUGACCAUCUGCAAUCAUGAGUCCUACCAAACAUCUUACCAAACAUCUGAAUGGAAUGGCAUCAAGUCGCAGGGGUUGCAUCCAGUUAUAUUUACAUCGAGGGGAGCGUCAUGCUGACUAUUACAGUCCCAAUCACCACUUGUCAGCACCAAAUGCAACAAGGUUCAAAAUGCUAAACCUCCUGACCUAAUGUGAAUGUGAUCAUUAAAUCUUGGAGCUUUUCUGACAGCAUUUCCACUGCAGUGAGCACUCGUAGAUUUCAAAGCUGGGACUGAUCAGCGUGUUGAUGCUUGAACCUGAAACGGCAGAAAACCAAACACAGCAACAAGAAGCCCCAAAUGACGGCACAUGACAAAACACGAUGCAUUGUUGAAAAUUCAUGAAUCUUUACCGGAAUCUUUCUGAGACAUUCAGACAGUGCUUGCUGUAGAAGCAUUGGCUGCCUGUAUCAAGAUGGAGCUUAGAGGUGUGUGCUGCAUUUCUUGUGUGACUUUAACAAGGUGUGUGUCAUUGGCAAUCUCUGACUUUCAUAUUCAACUUUUCUAGACUGUAUAUGCCAUCAAUCUACACUUCUAACUGUGGGAGAGAAAUGUUUUAAAUGAUUUUCAAUUGUAUAAAUGUGAAUCCCAGCACUUCCAGUGAUUACCACAGAAUAUGCGGUAGAUGUGAGAGUAAAAACAUACUCCAGAAAUUCAAAUAAGGUCUGAGAUCAAGGUCAUGAAUACAUGGUGCCUUCGUUAUUUUUAUAACUUCUUAUAAUCUGGCAAAAAGUGCAUCAA
Molecule: long non-coding RNA, 1391 nt
Organism: Stegostoma tigrinum
Lineage: Eukaryota; Metazoa; Chordata; Chondrichthyes; Orectolobiformes; Stegostomatidae
Exons: 3
Source: RefSeq, a predicted model, not a curated record